RNAcentral lists this unclassified non-coding RNA (343 nucleotides) under soil metagenome. RNAcentral describes it as "partial contains 5.8S ribosomal RNA, internal transcribed spacer 2, and large subunit ribosomal RNA". The stretch from base 1 to 120 matches the Rfam family "5.8S ribosomal RNA", at positions 35 to 154 of the family's 154-position model. The record is from RNAcentral.
GAUGAAGAACGUAGCGAAAUGCGAUAAGUAAUGUGAAUUGCAGAAUUCAGUGAAUCAUCGAAUCUUUGAACGCACAUUGCGCCCGCUAGUAUUCUGGCGGGCAUGCCUGUCCGAGCGUCAUUUCAACCCUCAAGCCCCCGGGCUUGGUGUUGGGGAUCGGCGAGCCUCCGCGCCCGCCGUCCCCUAAAUCCAGUGGCGGUCUCGCUGUAGCUUCCUCUGCGUAGUAGCACACCUCGCACUGGGAAACAGCGCGGCCACGCCGUUAAACCCCCAACUUCUGAACGUUUGACCUCGGAUCAGGUAGGAAUACCCGCUGAACUUAAGCAUAUCAAUAAGCGGAGGA